GAGACAGCAAUACUAAUGUGUUGAAAAUGGAUGAGGGGAAAACUGUCCCGGAUUUUCAGGUGGUUCAUACAAAUGAGGGUAAGGAGGACAUCUUGUACAGCAGCAGUGACCAAAAUGAGGGUGAAAGCGGUCUACCAUAGAGUGGAAUAGCUAUAUAAUUCCUGACCUCAUACCAACACUAUAUAGAGGAGAAAGUAGGACAACUUUAGAAGUUUAUGAGAUGACAUGAAAAUGAGACAUGAAAACAACCCAGGUAGGUAACUUAACAUCUUGAAGUGUUAGAGCUGAAAAGGUUAA
Long non-coding RNA from Pan paniscus (pygmy chimpanzee), 297 nucleotides. The record is from Ensembl. NCBI's taxonomy places the organism in Eukaryota, Metazoa, Chordata, Mammalia, Primates, Hominidae.